AUUGCUAAGACAGCUAGGAUGUUGGCUUGGAAGCAGCCAUUCAUUUAAAGAGUGCGUAACAGCUCACUAGUCGAGGAGUUUGGCGUGGAUAAUAAUCGGGCAUAAGUGUUUUACCGAAGCUAUGGGAUACGUAAGUAUCGGUAGGGGAGCAUUCCACUCUGCGUUGAAGGCGAAGCGUGAGCUUUACUGGAGCGUGUGGAAAAGCAAAUGUAGGUAUAAGUAACGAUAAAGGGGGUGAGAAACCCCCUCGCCGCAAGACUAAGGUUUCCUGAUCAACGCUAAUCGGAUCAGGGUUAGUCGGGUCCUAAGGCUCAGCCGAACGGUGAGGCCGAUGGCAGAACAGGUUAAUAUUCCUGUACUACCUAUAAGAGUGAUGUGGAGACGGAGGAGUGACAACGCCGCGGACUGACGGAAUAGUCCGUUAAAGGGUGUAGAUGUUGAUUAUCCCAGGCAAAUCCGGGAUAAGAGUCGAACCUGACAGUAUACCAAUUUCCCCGGAAAACGGUAAUAGUGCGUGUAAACAUACUCCCAAGAAAAUCCGCUAAACUUAAUCUUACAGGUACCCGUACCGUAAACGGACACACGUAGUCGGGUUGAAUAUACUCAGGCGCUUGAGUGAAUCACGGUUAAGGAACUAGGCAAAUUGACCCUGUAACUUCG
RNAcentral lists this ribosomal RNA (660 nucleotides) under Bacteroides fragilis. Its description in RNAcentral is "partial 23S ribosomal RNA". It matches the Rfam family "Bacterial large subunit ribosomal RNA", at positions 1080 to 1738 of the family's 2925-position model. Lineage: Bacteria; Pseudomonadati; Bacteroidota; Bacteroidia; Bacteroidales; Bacteroidaceae. The record is from RNAcentral.